This 205-nucleotide ribosomal RNA is filed under the name uncultured Actinomycetales bacterium. RNAcentral describes it as "partial 16S ribosomal RNA". It matches the Rfam family "Bacterial small subunit ribosomal RNA", at positions 131 to 334 of the family's 1533-position model. Lineage: Bacteria; Bacillati; Actinomycetota; Actinomycetes; Actinomycetales. The record is from RNAcentral.
CCCUUCUUUGGGAUAACGCCCGGAAACGGGUGCUAAUACUGGAUAUUCACUGGUCUUCGCAUGGGGGUUGGUGGAAAGGGUUUUUCUGGUGGGGGAUGGGCUCGCGGCCUAUCAGCUUGUUGGUGGGGUGAUGGCCUACCAAGGCUUUGACGGGUAGCCGGCCUGAGAGGGUGACCGGUCACAUUGGGACUGAGAUACGGCCCAG